GUGACCUCAAAUCAGGUAGGACUACCCGCUGAACUUAAGCAUAUCAAUAAGCGGAGGAAAAGAAACUAACAAGGAUUCCCUAGUAACUGCGAGUGAAGCGGGAAAAGCUCAAAUUUAAAAUCUGUCAGUCUUUGGCUGUCCGAGUUGUAAUCUAGAGAAGUGUUAUCUGCGCUGGACCAUGUAUAAGUCUCCUGGA
This 196-nucleotide ribosomal RNA is filed under the name uncultured Cortinarius. RNAcentral's name for it is "partial 28S ribosomal RNA". It matches the Rfam family "Eukaryotic large subunit ribosomal RNA", at positions 1 to 194 of the family's 3401-position model. Lineage: Eukaryota; Fungi; Basidiomycota; Agaricomycetes; Agaricales; Cortinariaceae. The record is from RNAcentral.